Molecule: small RNA, 46 nt
Filed under: Soonwooa buanensis
Lineage: Bacteria; Pseudomonadati; Bacteroidota; Flavobacteriia; Flavobacteriales; Weeksellaceae
Description: Acido-Lenti-1 RNA
Rfam family: Acido-Lenti-1 RNA
Source: Rfam by way of RNAcentral
GAUAGGAGUUACCUCCUAUCCUUUGUCAAGUCGUCCCUUCGGGACU